AUGAACGCUUGCGGCGUGCCUAAUACAUGCAAGUCGAGCGAACAGAUGAGGAUCUUGCUCCUCUGACGUUAGCGGCGGACGGGUGAGUAACACGUGGAUAACCUACCUAUAAGACUGGGAUAACUUCGGGAAACCGGAUCUAAUACCGGAUAAUAUAUUGAACCGCAUGGUUCAAUAGUGAAAUACGGUUUUUCUGUCACUUAUAGAUGGAUCCGCGCCGCAUUAGCUAGUUGGUAAGGUAACGGCUUACCAAGGCAACGAUGCGUAGCCGACCUGAGAGGGUGAUCGGCCACACUGGAACUGAGACACGGUCCAGACUACUACGGGAGGCAGCAGUAGGGAAUCUUCCGCAAUGGGCGAAAGCCUGACGGAGCAAAGCCGCGUGAGUGAUGAAGGUCUUCGGAUCGUAAAACUCUGUUAUUAGGGAAGAACAAAUGUGUAAGUACCUAUGCACGUAUUGACGGUACCUAAUCAGAAAGCCACGGCUAACUACGUG
Molecule: ribosomal RNA, 496 nt
Filed under: uncultured bacterium
Lineage: Bacteria
Description: partial 16S ribosomal RNA
Rfam family: Bacterial small subunit ribosomal RNA
Source: RNAcentral